CCGCACGAGCGCACCCUUGCCCUAUGUUGCCAGCGGUAUCAUGCCGGGGUACUCAUGGGGGACUGCCGGUGAUAAACCGGAGGAAGGUGGGGACGACGUCAAGUCAUCAUGGCCCUUACGCCCAGGGCUACACACGUGCUACAAUGGCCGGCACAAAGGGCUGCCAACCUGCGAAGGUGAGCGAAUCCCAAAAAGCCGGUCUAAGUUCGGAUUGUAGUCUGCAACUCGACUGCAUGAAGUCGGAAUCGCUAGUAAUCGUGUAUCAGCAACGACACGGUGAAUACGUUCCCGGGCCUUGUACACACCGCCCGUCAAGCCAUGGAAGCUGGGAGUGCCCGAAGUCUGUGACCCAACCUAGUGAGGGAGCAGCCGAAGGUAAGUUCGGUGACUGGGGCUAAGUCGUAACAAGGUAGCCGUAGGGGAACCUGCGGCUGGAUCACCUCCUUU
RNAcentral lists this ribosomal RNA (447 nucleotides) under uncultured Gammaproteobacteria bacterium. RNAcentral's name for it is "bacterial SSU rRNA". It matches the Rfam family "Bacterial small subunit ribosomal RNA", at positions 1087 to 1533 of the family's 1533-position model. Lineage: Bacteria; Pseudomonadati; Pseudomonadota; Gammaproteobacteria. The record is from RNAcentral.